This 385-nucleotide long non-coding RNA is filed under the name Ananas comosus (pineapple). RNAcentral's name for it is "long non-coding RNA (ACOM_LNC015623)". Lineage: Eukaryota; Viridiplantae; Streptophyta; Magnoliopsida; Poales; Bromeliaceae. The record is from RNAcentral.
AAAUAAUAAUUUUUAAAAUUUUGAAUAAAUUUUUAAAAAUUAAUUAAAAUAUUUUGACCAAUCAAAAAUAUAUAAAAUAUUUUUUACAUUUUCAACAGUAUAUUAGGUAUUAUCCAAAUAUAUAUACACACACUCCGAAACUAUACAAAUAAUUUAUAAUUAAAAUUGGCCAAAUUAUACAUUUAAAUCCUCCAAUCUUGAGAUGCGUGACACUUUGAUUCGCAAAUUUUACUUUAUUAUAAUUUUUGACUAUAUCUCGUUGUCUGAUUUAAUUAAUUAAAUAAUAAUAUAUUGACAUAUCAUUUAUUAUAACACGACUACAUCGCUGCAAUAUUAGUGAUGCGUCAUCAUUUAAUUAAUUAAAUUCUACUAUAAAAUUACUUGC